CUCUCAGGGCAGCAGGCGGUGGCAGGGCCAAAGCCUAGGUGUGGGCACCAGGGCCCGGGGAAGUGGGGGCGAGUGGACCACAGUGACAGCCCCUGGGGACCAGGAAAGAAGAGGGCCCAGAGUGUCCAGCCCAGGUGCUGCAUCUGGAACCCCAGGGGUUCUCCUGGAAAGGACGGGCUUUGGUCUCUGGCCUGCUCUGGUGGCAGGGAGGUGGAGUGGACCAUGAGGCGUGGCCCGGACCAUGCGUGUGAGUCACCAGUGCCGCCAUGCGCAGACUCUGGGGCACAGGGAAGGGGGCUCUGGUUCUUGGUCUCUUCCCUCCAGCUUGCUUGAUACU
This 337-nucleotide long non-coding RNA is filed under the name Callithrix jacchus (white-tufted-ear marmoset). Its description in RNAcentral is "lncRNA (ENSCJAG00000083054.1)". Lineage: Eukaryota; Metazoa; Chordata; Mammalia; Primates; Cebidae. The record is from RNAcentral.